Molecule: ribosomal RNA, 207 nt
Filed under: uncultured bacterium
Lineage: Bacteria
Description: partial 16S ribosomal RNA
Rfam family: Bacterial small subunit ribosomal RNA
Source: RNAcentral
CGCGUAGGCGGACUGUCAAGUCAGUCGUGAAAUAUCGGGGCUUAACCCCGGGGCUGCGAUUGAAACUGGCAGCCUUGAGUAUCGGAGAGGAAAGCGGAAUUCCUAGUGUAGCGGUGAAAUGCGUAGAUAUUAGGAGGAACACCAAUGGCGAAGGCGGCUUUCUGGACGACAACUGACGCUGAGGCGCGAAAGUGUGGGGAGCAAACA